GCUUAACACAUGCAAGUCGAACGAAGCAUUUGCGACAGAUUUCUUCAGAUUGAAGUUGCUUAUGACUGAGUGGCGGACGGGUGAGUAACGCGUGGGUAACCUGCCUCACACAGGGGGAUAGCAGUUGGAAACGGCUGAUAAUACCGCAUAAGCGCACAGUACCGCAUGGUACAGUGUGAAAAACUCCGGUGGUGUGAGAUGGACCCGCGUCUGAUUAGCUGGUUGGCGGGGUAACGGCCCACCAAGGCAACGAUCAGUAGCCGACCUGAGAGGGUGACCGGCCACAUUGGGACUGAGACACGGCCCAGACUCCUACGGGAGGCAGCAGUGGGGAAUAUUGCACAAUGGAGGAAACUCUGAUGCAGCGACGCCGCGUGAGUGAAGAAGUAAUUCGUUAUGUAAAGCUCUAUCAGCAGGGAAGAUAGUGACGGUACCUGACUAAGAAGCUCCGGCUAAAUACGUGCCAGCAGCCGCGGUAAUACGUAUGGAGCAAGCGUUAUCCGGAUUUACUGGGUGUAAAGGGAAUGUAGGUGGCAUCACAAGUCAGAAGUGAAAGCCCGGGGCUCAACCCCGGGACUGCUUUUGAAACUGUGGAGCUGGAGUGCAGGAGAGGCAAGUAGAAUUCCUAGUGUAGCGGUGAAAUGCGUAGAUAUUAGGAGGAACACCAGUGGCGAAGGCGGCUUGCUGGACUGUAACUGACACUGAGGCUCGAAAGCGUGGGGAGCAAACAA
This 731-nucleotide ribosomal RNA is filed under the name uncultured bacterium. RNAcentral's name for it is "bacterial SSU rRNA". It matches the Rfam family "Bacterial small subunit ribosomal RNA", at positions 46 to 775 of the family's 1533-position model. The record is from RNAcentral.